GCGUAUAUUAAAGUUGUUGCAGUUAAAAAGCUCGUAGUUGAAUUUCGGGGUUCUACCGUUGGUCGGGCAAUUGUCUGUACUGGCGUGUGGAAUUUCUACCUUCUGGGGAACCAUCAUGUUAUUAAUUUAGCGUGGUGGGAAACCAGGACCUUUACCUUGAAAAAAUUAGAGUGUUCAAAGCAGGCUUACGUCUGAAUACAUUAGCAUGGAAUAAUAAAAUAGGACGGUGGUCCUGUUUUGUUGGUUUCUGAAUCMCCGUAAUGAUUAAUAGGGAUAGUUGGGGGCAUUAGUAUUCAAUUGUCAGAGGUGAAAUUCUUGGAUUUAUUGAAGACUAACUUCUGCGAAAGCAUUUGCCAAGGAUGUUUUCAUUAAUCAAGAACGAAAGUUAGGGGAUCGAAGACGAUCAGAUACCGUCGUAGUCUUAACCAUAAACUAUGCCGACUAGGGAUCGGACGA
Molecule: ribosomal RNA, 456 nt
Filed under: Gigaspora sp. 1 RJ-2015
Lineage: Eukaryota; Fungi; Glomeromycota; Glomeromycetes; Diversisporales; Gigasporaceae
Description: SSU rRNA
Rfam family: Eukaryotic small subunit ribosomal RNA
Source: RNAcentral